RNAcentral lists this small RNA (29 nucleotides) under Bombyx mori (domestic silkworm). RNAcentral's name for it is "ovarian small RNA-21370". The record is from RNAcentral. Lineage: Eukaryota; Metazoa; Arthropoda; Insecta; Lepidoptera; Bombycidae.
UACUCCAUGUGAGGCCCCACCUGCGCCUU